AACGAACGCUGGCGGUAUGCCUAACACAUGCAAGUCGAACGAGACCUUCGGGUCUAGUGGCGCACGGGUGCGUAACGCGUGGGAACCUGCCCCUAGGUUCGGCAUAACUCCCCGAAAGGGGUGCUAAUACCGGAUAAUGUCUUCGGACCAAGGAUUUAUCGCGUUUGGAUGGGCCCGCGUUGGAUUAGCUAGUUGGUAGGGUAAUAGCCUACCAAGGCGACGAUUCAUAGCUGGGCUGAGAGGAUGAUCAGCCACACUGGGACUGAGACACGGCCCAGACUCCUACGGGAGGCAGCAGUGAGGAAUAUUGGACAAUGGGCGAAAGCCUGAUCCAGCAAUGCCGCGUGAGUGAUGAAGGCCUUAGGGUUGUAAAGCUCUUUUAACCGGGAUGAUAAUGACAGUACCGGGAGAAUAAGCUCCGGCUAACUCCGUG
Molecule: ribosomal RNA, 433 nt
Filed under: uncultured bacterium
Lineage: Bacteria
Description: partial 16S ribosomal RNA
Rfam family: Bacterial small subunit ribosomal RNA
Source: RNAcentral